This 466-nucleotide long non-coding RNA is filed under the name Elaeis guineensis (African oil palm). Its description in RNAcentral is "long non-coding RNA (EGUI_LNC009927)". The record is from RNAcentral. Lineage: Eukaryota; Viridiplantae; Streptophyta; Magnoliopsida; Arecales; Arecaceae.
GUGUGAUACAAUCUCUCUAUCGAGAGUCCCGACUUGAUGGAGGUCAUGGAGAACUCGUCAAACCCCAUCAUCAGUCAUAUGCUAGAUUAUCUCAACUCGAGUUCAUUUGUGAAUUUCAUAAAUUUUUUUUCCAAUAUUUACACUUACUCUGGCCAGAGAUUUUUCUAAACUCAGUCUUACGAAUUGUAUAGAACUUCUCUUUUUCUACCAAGGUCGAUAGAUUUUAUCUAGAUGCAUCUUACUCCAAACAACGAAUAUGAACCUACAUAGCCAACAUACACAGUAAGGAUCCGAAUGGCUAAGGACUAAGAAAAUAUAUAGUCAAACUAUAUAGCCUCACUGCGAAUAGCCAAUACACCACAGGUUAAAGGACCAAUCACAUCACUGCAGUAUCGAGAAAGACCAUUGAUGAGUGAGUAAACAUCCAAGUGGUUUUUCGUAUUGGUCAUGCUCAGUAUAAGUUAUU